GAUGAACGCUGGCGGCGUGCUUAACACAUGCAAGUCGAACGAAGCACUUUAGUUGAUUUCUUCGGAUUGAUUCUAAAGUGACUUAGUGGCGGACGGGUGAGUAACGCGUGGGUAACCUGCCUCACACAGGGGGAUAACAGUUAGAAAUGACUGCUAAUACCGCAUAAGACCACAGCACCGCAUGGUGCAGGGGUAAAAACUCCGGUGGUGUGAGAUGGACCCGCGUCUGAUUAGCUAGUUGGUGGGGUAACGGCCUACCAAGGCGACGAUCAGUAGCCGACCUGAGAGGGUGACCGGCCACAUUGGGACUGAGACACGGCCCAAACUCCUACGGGAGGCAGCAGUGGGGAAUAUUGCACAAUGGGCGAAAGCCUGAUGCAGCGACGCCGCGUGAAGGAUGAAGUAUUUCGGUAUGUAAACUUCUAUCAGCAGGGAAGAAAAUGACGGUACCUGACUAAGAAGCCCCGGCUAACUACGUG
Molecule: ribosomal RNA, 479 nt
Filed under: uncultured bacterium
Lineage: Bacteria
Description: bacterial SSU rRNA
Rfam family: Bacterial small subunit ribosomal RNA
Source: RNAcentral